AUGUACCGCAACUUUGCUGUCAACAUAACGAAGGGACGUCUAGUUCACAUGAGGCUUUGCGAAGCAUGGGUGGAUACGAAUGGCGACUUCCCUAGAGAGAUACAACUAUGGACCGAAAGAUGUGCCUGGGGCGUGGAGCUGGUGAAAGAUGGGGACUUUCUCCAUCUGAAGAAAGGAUGGCGUGGGUUCACAGAGGAGCACGGCGUGAAGGUAGGGGAUGUCGUCCACUUCCAAAUAGUCACCCCGUCUGCAUGGGUUCUCCGCAUCAAAGCACCGAACAGAGAGAUUAGAUGCCCGCGCAGCCACUGA
RNAcentral lists this ribosomal RNA (309 nucleotides) under Triticum aestivum (bread wheat). RNAcentral describes it as "partial small subunit ribosomal RNA". Lineage: Eukaryota; Viridiplantae; Streptophyta; Magnoliopsida; Poales; Poaceae. The record is from RNAcentral.